GAACGCUGGCGGCAGGCCUAACACAUGCAAGUCGAACGCUCUAGCAAUAGAGAGUGGCAGACGGGUGAGUAACGCGUGGGAACCUUCCCAAUGGUGCGGAAUAGCCCAGGGAAACUUGGGGUAAUACCGCAUAAGCCCUUACGGGGAAAGAUUUAUCGCCAUUGGAUGGGCCCGCGUCGGAUUAGCUAGUUGGUGAGGUAAUGGCUCACCAAGGCAACGA
This 220-nucleotide ribosomal RNA is filed under the name uncultured Hyphomicrobium sp. Its description in RNAcentral is "partial 16S ribosomal RNA". It matches the Rfam family "Bacterial small subunit ribosomal RNA", at positions 31 to 279 of the family's 1533-position model. The record is from RNAcentral. Lineage: Bacteria; Pseudomonadati; Pseudomonadota; Alphaproteobacteria; Hyphomicrobiales; Hyphomicrobiaceae.